This 60-nucleotide transfer RNA is filed under the name Eophreatoicus karrkkanj. RNAcentral describes it as "tRNA-Thr". The record is from RNAcentral. Lineage: Eukaryota; Metazoa; Arthropoda; Malacostraca; Isopoda; Amphisopidae.
GCUUUUAUAGUUUAUAUAAAAUUUUAUCUUUGUAAGUUAAGGAAGGAACACCUAAAAGCU